RNAcentral lists this ribosomal RNA (497 nucleotides) under uncultured bacterium. Its description in RNAcentral is "partial 16S ribosomal RNA". It matches the Rfam family "Bacterial small subunit ribosomal RNA", at positions 28 to 507 of the family's 1533-position model. The record is from RNAcentral.
GAUGAACGCUGGCGGCGUGCCUAAUACAUGCAAGUCGAGCGAACAGACGAGGAGCUUGCUCCUCUGACGUUAGCGGCGGACGGGUGAGUAACACGUGGAUAACCUACCUAUAAGACUGGGAUAACUUCGGGAAACCGGAGCUAAUACCGGAUAAUAUAUUGAACCGCAUGGUUCAAUAGUGAAAGACGGUUUUGCUGUCACUUAUAGAUGGAUCCGCGCCGCAUUAGCUAGUUGGUAAGGUAACGGCUUACCAAGGCAACGAUGCGUAGCCGACCUGAGAGGGUGAUCCGGCCCACUGGAACUGAGACCCGGUCCAGACUCCCACGGGAGGGCGCAGUAGGGAAUCUUCCGCCAUGGGCGAAAGCCUGACGGAGCAACGCCGCGUGAGUGAUGAAGGUCUUCGGAUCGUAAAAAUCUGUUAUUAGGGAAGAACAAAUGUGUAAGUAACUAUGCACGUCUUGACGGUACCUUAUCAGAAAGCCACGGCUAACUACGUG